UACAGAGGUCUCAAGCGUUGUUCGGAUUCAUUGGGCGUAAAGGGUGUGUAGGCGGCGCGGUAAGUCGGGUGUGAAAUCUCGGAGCUUAACUCCGAAACUGCAUUCGAUACUGCCGUGCUUGAGGACUGGAGAGGAGACUGGAAUUUACGGUGUAGCGGUGAAAUGCGUAGAUAUCGUAAGGAAGACCAGUGGCGAAGGCGGGUCUCUGGACAGUUCCUGACGCUGAGGAGCGAAAGCGUGGGGAGCGAACAGG
RNAcentral lists this ribosomal RNA (253 nucleotides) under uncultured bacterium. RNAcentral's name for it is "partial 16S ribosomal RNA". It matches the Rfam family "Bacterial small subunit ribosomal RNA", at positions 524 to 776 of the family's 1533-position model. The record is from RNAcentral.